Long non-coding RNA from Carassius auratus (goldfish), 217 nucleotides. RefSeq lists it as uncharacterized. The transcript has 3 exons. NCBI's taxonomy places the organism in Eukaryota, Metazoa, Chordata, Actinopteri, Cypriniformes, Cyprinidae. The record is from RefSeq and is a predicted model, not a curated record.
AGAACCAGGGUGAACGAAGCAGCAAAACCUACGUCGUCCUCUUCAGAGAUGGAUGUGGGAAUAUUGGAGAUCCCGGCAGAACUGUCGGCCCGAUUACGCAGUGCAGCAGGACGUCCUCAAGGAUCAGGAGUAACAGAAGUAGCUCUGCCACAGGUCAAAGCAGACCACAACCUCUCACUGCCCCAAGACAUUGACAGACACCCUUUCUCCAAAUAUG